CCUACGGGCGGCAGCAGUGGGGAAUAUUGCACAAUGGGCGCAAGCCUGAUGCAGCCAUGCCGCGUGUGUGAAGAAGGCCUUCGGGUUGUAAAGCACUUUCAGCGGGGAGGAAGGCGUUAAGGUUAAUAACCUUGUCGAUUGACGUUACCCGCAGAAGAAGCACCGGCUAACUCCGUGCCAGCAGCCGCGGUAAUACGGAGGGUGCAAGCGUUAAUCGGAAUUACUGGGCGUAAAGCGCACGCAGGCGGUCUGUCAAGUCGGAUGUGAAAUCCCCGGGCUCAACCUGGGAACUGCAUUCGAAACUGGCAGGCUAGAGUCUUGUAGAGGGGGGUAGAAUUCCAGGUGUAGCGGUGAAAUGCGUAGAGAUCUGGAGGAAUACCGGUGGCGAAGGCGGCCCCCUGGACAAAGACUGACGCUCAGGCGCGAAAGCGUGGGGAGCAAACAGGAUUAGAUACCCGAGUAGUC
This 465-nucleotide ribosomal RNA is filed under the name uncultured Klebsiella sp. RNAcentral describes it as "bacterial SSU rRNA". It matches the Rfam family "Bacterial small subunit ribosomal RNA", at positions 338 to 795 of the family's 1533-position model. Lineage: Bacteria; Pseudomonadati; Pseudomonadota; Gammaproteobacteria; Enterobacterales; Enterobacteriaceae. The record is from RNAcentral.